This 253-nucleotide ribosomal RNA is filed under the name uncultured bacterium. Its description in RNAcentral is "partial 16S ribosomal RNA". It matches the Rfam family "Bacterial small subunit ribosomal RNA", at positions 524 to 776 of the family's 1533-position model. The record is from RNAcentral.
UACGAAGGGGGCUAGCGUUGCUCGGAAUUACUGGGCGUAAAGGGAGCGUAGGCGGACAGUUAAGUCAGUGGUGAAAGCCCAGGGCUCAACCCUGGAAUAGCCUUUGAUACUGAUUGUCUUGAGUAUGGGAGAGGUAUGCGGAACUCCGAGUGUAGAGGUGAAAUUCGUAGAUAUUCGGAGGAACACCAGUGGCGAAGGCGGCUCACUGGUCCAUUACUGACGCUGAGGUGCGAAAGCGUGGGGAGCAAACAGG